This is a long non-coding RNA of Cryptotermes secundus, 1655 nucleotides long. RefSeq lists it as uncharacterized. The transcript has 6 exons. NCBI's taxonomy places the organism in Eukaryota, Metazoa, Arthropoda, Insecta, Blattodea, Kalotermitidae. The record is from RefSeq and is a predicted model, not a curated record.
CAGUAGUACAAGUGUAGCAAAACGUCCCGGGUCCCCAAAUCAGUUUCGGUAAUCUUCUGGGUUAUUUAUGACGUUUACGACCUUUACGACGCUCUCAUAAGUUGGACUAUGUAGACUGAAUGGCACGUAGGCAGACAAAUACACAGUCUGAUCAUAAGAUUCAAGAGCUUCAAGAGCUUCAGGGCUCUGAUAUCGUUACAUGGAGACAGAAGAAGAGACCGAAGAGACGACCACGAUGUUUCUUGGACUUGGACAUGAUUCGGAAUGUAGAGAUCGGUAGAGAGCGUAGAGAUCUUCCCGAGAGAUCGAUCAUCACUCAUCAUCACUCGUAUUGAUAUCUAAAAUGGCAGAUCGUUCAGUGGUUAAGGAUGAUGACACUUAAGGUUUCAUCAAUGAUAGUAAAACAAGUGAGGUAACGAGUGCUUGUUGUCAUAAAUUUAAAAUAGAACCCAGAUCAGCACAAAAAAUUAUUGAACUGCUAUAAGAAGAGAUAAACACGCCCAAUCGUACCCGUCAGAAGAGAUACUGUCCAACAUCAAGAUUGAGCCCAAUGACAGCAAACUGGAGCUUCAGAUAGCCCCGAAGAAAGCAUGGAGACUGAAGCUGCAGGAUGCUGUUACAGAAUCAAAGAACAGUGUAAAAAAGGUGGCAGAGUCAUUACUGGGGAGAAACUCAGAAGGAAACACGGAAGGUGGUUCCAUUGUGCUGAAUGCUACCGCAGAAUUCUGCCGUACGUUGGGUGACAUCCCCAUUUAUGGUCUGGCUGGCAACAGGGAUGAGGACACUCAGGAACUACUUAUACCUGUCUCAUGAAUUUCAUGGAAAGGGACCUGGCAAAAUAAAGUGGAGAAACGAAUGAAGAAAACUGAACAGGAAGGAUUGAUGAAACAGAUGAGCUCAACAGAUGCCCACUUAGAAUGCUUAGUCUCUUACAGCAGAAGCAGAAAGAAAUGCAGUCUCCAUUCGUGGUCCUUAGUGGCAGUAAACAAACAUGAGGCAACCAUCUGAAAAACAAAACUGCAAAUUCUUCAUGAAAUAUGCUGGCACAAACUCUGAACUUUGGCGUGUUUUUAUUGUUUCUUACUGUCUGGAAUAUAAUCUCUGUUUUUAAGUAAGACACAGCUUGCAGCUGCCGACAGUGCCUCUGUGUACUGGAAGGAAGGCCACAGAGUUCAUGUCACAUUCAAAUGAUUACAGUGGUUCUCCUGCUUCCUUAGGUAACCUGUUGGCACCUGUAAGCUGGGAAGUACAAUUUGUAGUGAUUAGUUGCUUGCUUAUAGGACUUGAGCCAGAUGAACAGUCUCUAAGCUAAAUCAGACAUGAAGUAAUUAUAUUUGGCCUUUCGUGAUUGCAAUAGCAAUAUUGUAUCCUUCCAAGGGAAGAAAGAAACCCUUGUUCAGUUGUAGGCCAGUAUGAAAAGCUGUAAAAUUAUACAAGCAACAGAAUCAGAAAGUGUACAGUCUACUGCAAAUCAUUGUAAAGCACCACUGAUAUAUCACUGAAACAUUUGUAAUGGGUUAUAAAAGUAACUUGGUUCAUCCUGGUCUGUCGCACUAGUAAUUGUAUCUAAGGAUUUUAACCACUGGCCAGUGUGAUUGAUAAAAGUUGUUUUUAAUUUUUCAUCCUUUACAUGUUUUGGUCAAAACGACCAUCUU